GAUCCUGGCUCAGGAUGAACGCUAGCGGCAGGUUUAACAUAUGCAAGUCGAGGGGCAGCAUAAUGGAUAGCAAUAUCUAUGGUGGCGACCGGCGCACGGGUGCGUAACGCGUAUGCAACCUACCUUUAACAGGGGGAUAACACUGAGAAAUUGGUACUAAUACCCCAUAAUAUCAUAGAAGGCAUCUUUUAUGGUUGAAAAUUCCGAUGGUUAGAGAUGGGCAUGCGUUGUAUUAG
This 236-nucleotide ribosomal RNA is filed under the name uncultured bacterium. RNAcentral describes it as "partial 16S ribosomal RNA". It matches the Rfam family "Bacterial small subunit ribosomal RNA", at positions 15 to 244 of the family's 1533-position model. The record is from RNAcentral.